AGUGAACGCUGGCGGUAGGCCUAACACAUGCAAGUCGAACGGCAGCACAGUAAGAGCUUGCUCUUACGGGUGGCGAGUGGCGGACGGGUGAGGAAUACAUCGGAAUCUACUUUUUCGUGGGGGAUAACGUGGGGAAACUUCCGCUAAUACCGCAUACGACCUCCGGGUGAAGGCAGGGGAUCUUCGGACCUUGCGCGAUUGAUUGAGCCGAUGUCGGAUUAGCUAGUUGGCGGGGUAAAGGCCCACCAAGGCGACGAUCCGUAGCUGGUCUGAGAGGAUGAUCAGCCACACUGGAACUGAGACACGGUCCAGACUCCUACGGGAGGCAGCAGUGGGGAAUAUUGGACAAUGGGCGCAAGCCUGAUCCAGCCAUACCGCGUGGGUGAAGAAGGCCUUCGGGUUGUAAAGCCCUCUUGUUGGGAAAGAAAAGCAGCAGGUUAAUACCCCGCUGUUCUGACGGUACCCAAAGAAUAAGCACCGGCUAACUUCGUG
Molecule: ribosomal RNA, 492 nt
Filed under: uncultured bacterium
Lineage: Bacteria
Description: partial 16S ribosomal RNA
Rfam family: Bacterial small subunit ribosomal RNA
Source: RNAcentral